RNAcentral lists this ribosomal RNA (406 nucleotides) under uncultured bacterium. Its description in RNAcentral is "partial 16S ribosomal RNA". It matches the Rfam family "Bacterial small subunit ribosomal RNA", at positions 29 to 526 of the family's 1533-position model. The record is from RNAcentral.
AUUGAACGCUGGCGGCAGGCCUAACACAUGCAAGUCGAACGAGUGGCGGACGGGUGAGUAAUGUCUGGGAAACUGCCCGAUGGAGGGGGAUACCUACUGGAAACGGUAGCUAAUACCGCAUACCAUCGGAUGUGCCCAGAUGGGAUUAGCUAGUAGGUGGGGUAACGGCUCACCUAGGCGACGAUCCCUAACUGGUCUGCGAGGAUGACCAGCCACACUGGAAGUGAGACACGGGCCAGACUCCUACGGGAGGCAGCAGUGGGGAAGAUUGCACAAUGGGCGCAAGCCGGAUGAAGCAAUGCCGCGUGUAUGAAGAAGGCCUGCGGGUUGUAAAGUACUUUCAGCGGGGAGGCGUUACCCGCAGAAGAAGCACCGGCUAACUCCGUGCCAGCAGCCGCGGUAAUAC